This 385-nucleotide unclassified non-coding RNA is filed under the name fungal sp. RNAcentral describes it as "partial internal transcribed spacer region". The stretch from base 1 to 46 matches the Rfam family "Eukaryotic small subunit ribosomal RNA", at positions 1786 to 1831 of the family's 1831-position model. Lineage: Eukaryota; Fungi. The record is from RNAcentral.
AAGUCGUAACAAGGUUUCCGUAGGUGAACCUGCGGAAGGAUCAUUAACACGUAUCCAAACGUUAAAACCCCCCCCGUGAACAUUCAAUCCUGCUCGGGAGGAAAGCAGUUUGAUUCAGAGACCUCUGGCCCGUGAGAAAAUUGGAACAGUUACAAUUCGAGCGGUAGGUUUAUAGGCCUUGUUUCCCCAAGCAGUCAGUGUCUGAAAGCGUCAUUGAUUGUGCAAGGAUAGCGCUUCACGAUUCCUGUAGACCGUACACUCGGGCAGGAGCUAGGCCAAAGGGUCACCAUGCCCCCUUACAACCCCACAGUUUAUUGCAAAGCUCAAUGUAAUACAUUGGGUAAAAAAACUUGAACAACUGUUAACAAUGGAUAUCUUGGUUCUC